Molecule: long non-coding RNA, 875 nt
Organism: Homo sapiens (human)
Lineage: Eukaryota; Metazoa; Chordata; Mammalia; Primates; Hominidae
Product: long intergenic non-protein coding RNA 1089
Source: Ensembl
CAGACACGAAGGAGAGGCCAACAGAUGAGGGAAGCCAUUUUUCUGCAAUGGAAUUAAAUGGCCAAGUGGGUUUUUCCUUUGUUGCAAAUGGGGAAUGUUUUUCCUUUGACUCUACCAUCCAGUUCAGGACGUCUCAGUGUGUUUAACAUUUGUCAACAGGCCCAAGGACUCACAGUUGGAAGACUGGAGAAGACUUUUUAAAAAGAUCUGGAUUUUUCCUUAUGACUUGGAAUCCAUCUUUGUCUUGUAUAACUAGGUCAUAGCACACCAUUCAUGUCAGCAGUUAACAGUUUUGAAUUCCAAAAAAACCUAAAGCAGUAAACAGUCCUCAGCGAAGCCGCCUUUUUGCCUACCCAACCCUGGAAAGUUUGCAGAAGUGGAAGGAGCAGAACGUGAGGGUGUAACUUACAAAAAGGUUCUGGGCCGGAGAAGGGGCGACGUUCGGGCACCCCCCGAAUGGACAAUCUUUCCUUCUGUCAACGGCAGGGGCAGGCCUAGUUUGACUCUGACAGUCCUCCCACUAAGGAAUUCCUGGUGACUGGAAGGGGGAGUGACUCAGGCCCUCAACCUCUAGCAGGUAAGGGAGCUACCUCCUGGGUGGGCAUGCCCAGUUCCUCAGUGGGCCCAGCGCGGCCCAGCCUCCGAGGAAGCUCUGAGCAGCUGGCUUGGCUCCGAGGUAUUUUUAGCUACAGAUCCAGCCCCCCUCCAUCACCACAACAGUCGAGUCCAAAUCAAACGCGCUCCAGGCAGGUGGGGCUGGGGUUCUGCCAGCCUCCUGGCCAGCAGGGGUGGGUGGGCAGACUGGGGCCAGUAUCAGCUGUUCUGCCUGGACCCAGGCCGGGCUGGGAAGGCACACUUGUGCUUAUUUCCCGCCU